Molecule: unclassified non-coding RNA, 200 nt
Filed under: soil metagenome
Description: partial contains internal transcribed spacer 2 and large subunit ribosomal RNA
Source: RNAcentral
GCCUGUUCGAGCGUCAUUUAAACAAUCAAGCCUUGCUUGGUCUUGGGCGUGGUCGAUCGACCCGUCCGUAACUCGUUGGCGGUGCAGUCCGGCUUCAAGCGUAGCAAACAUCUCGCUUCAGGAGUCCGCGGCGGUACCUGCCAGGUAACUCAAACCUAAAGUUUGACCUCGGAUCAGGUGAGGAUACCCGCUGAACUUAA